AUGAACGCUGGCGGCGUGCCUAAUACAUGCAAGUCGAGCGAACAGACGAGGAGCUUGCUCCUCUGACGUUAGCGGCGGACGGGUGAGUAACACGUGGAUAACCUACCUAUAAGACUGGGAUAACUUCGGGAAACCGGAGCUAAUACCGGAUAAUAUAUUGAACCGCUUGGUUCAAUAGUGAAAGACGGUUUUGCUGUCACUUAUAGAUGGAUCCGCGCCGCAUUAGCUAGUUGGUAAGGUAACGGCUUACCAAGGCAACGAUGCGUAGCCGACCUGAGAGGGUGAUCGGCCACACUGGAACUGAGACACGGUCCAGACUCCUACGGGAGGCAGCAGUAGGGAAUCGUCCGCAAUGGGCGAAAGCCUGACGGAGCAACGCCGCGUGAGUGAUGAAGGUCUUCGGAUCGUAAAACUCUGUUAUUAGGGAAGAACAAAUGUGUAAGUAACUAUGCACGUCUUGACGGUACCUAAUCAGAAAGCCACGGCUAACUACGUG
RNAcentral lists this ribosomal RNA (496 nucleotides) under uncultured bacterium. RNAcentral's name for it is "partial 16S ribosomal RNA". It matches the Rfam family "Bacterial small subunit ribosomal RNA", at positions 29 to 507 of the family's 1533-position model. The record is from RNAcentral.